CGAAAGCCUGACGGAGCAAGACCGCGUGCGGGAGGAAGGUCUAUUGAUUGUAAACCGCUUUUGAUAGGGAAGAAGAUCUGACGGUACCUAUCGAAUCAGCAUCGGCUAACUCCGUGCCAGCAGCCGCGGUAAUACGGGGGAUGCAAGCGUUAUCCGGAAUUAUUGGGCGUAAAGCGUCCGUAGGUGGUUUUAAAAGUCUGUUGUCAAAUCGCGAGGCUUAACCUCGUACAGGCAGUGGAAACUAUAAGACUAGAGUGCGGUAGGGGUAGAGGGAAUUUCCAGUGUAGCGGUGAAAUGCGUAGAUAUUGGAAAGAACACCGGUGGCGAAGGCGCUCUACUGGGCCUGCACUGACACUGAGGGACGAAAGCU
RNAcentral lists this ribosomal RNA (370 nucleotides) under uncultured cyanobacterium. RNAcentral's name for it is "bacterial SSU rRNA". It matches the Rfam family "Bacterial small subunit ribosomal RNA", at positions 376 to 761 of the family's 1533-position model. The record is from RNAcentral. Lineage: Bacteria; Bacillati; Cyanobacteriota.